GAGACAGGUGCUGCAUGGCUGUCGUCAGCUCGUGUUGUGAAAUGUUGGGUUAAGUCCCGCAACGAGCGCAACCCUUAUCCUUUGUUGCCAGCGGUCCGGCCGGGAACUCAAAGGAGACUGCCAGUGAUAAACUGGAGGAAGGUGGGGAUGACGUCAAGUCAUCAUGGCCCUUACGACCAGGGCUACACACGUGCUACAAUGGCGCAUACAAAGAGAAGCGACCUCGCGAGAGCAAGCGGACCUCAUAAAGUGCGUCGUAGUCCGGAUUGGAGUCUGCAACUCGACUCCAUGAAGUCGGAAUCGCUAGUAAUCGUGGAUCAGAAUGCCACGGUGAAUACGUUCCCGGGCCUUGUACACACCGCCCGUCACACCAUGGGAGUGGGUUGCAAAAGAAGUAGGUAGCUUAACCUUCGGGAGGGCGCUUACCACUUUGUGAUUCAUGACUGGGGUGAAGUCGUAACAAGGUAACCGUAGGGGAACCUGCGGUUGGAUCACCUCCUUA
Molecule: ribosomal RNA, 502 nt
Filed under: Escherichia coli
Lineage: Bacteria; Pseudomonadati; Pseudomonadota; Gammaproteobacteria; Enterobacterales; Enterobacteriaceae
Also listed under: 2 other names
Description: bacterial SSU rRNA
Rfam family: Bacterial small subunit ribosomal RNA
Source: RNAcentral